This 895-nucleotide ribosomal RNA is filed under the name uncultured bacterium. RNAcentral's name for it is "bacterial SSU rRNA". It matches the Rfam family "Bacterial small subunit ribosomal RNA", at positions 24 to 914 of the family's 1533-position model. The record is from RNAcentral.
UCAGAACGAACGCUGGCGGCGUGCUUAACACAUGCAAGUCGAACGAGAAAGUCCUUCGGGAUGAGUAGAGUGGCGCACGGGUGAGUAAUGAAUAGGAACAUACCUAUGGGUGAGGAAUAACUGCGGGAAACUGCGGCUAAUACCACAUAAGAUCGCAAGAUGAAAGAGGGCCUAUGCUUGCAAGCUCUCGCCGAUAGAGUGGCCUAUUUCCCAUUAGCUAGUUGGUAGGGUAAGAGCCUACCAAGGCGACGAUGGGUAGCUGGUCUGAGAGGAUGAUCAGCCACACUGGAACUGAGACACGGUCCAGACUCCUACGGGAGGCAGCAGUGGGGAAUCUUGCACAAUGGGCGAAAGCCUGAUGCAGCAACGCCGCGUGAGUGAAGAAGGCCCUUGGGUCGUAAAGCUCUUUCGGCUAGGAAGAAGGGGCUCCUGAAGAAACGCUGGAGCUUUGACGGUACUAGAAGAAGAAGCACUGGCUAAUUCCGUGCCAGCAGCCGCGGUAAUACGGAAGGUGCAAGCGUUGUUCGGAAUGACUGGGCGUAAAGGGCGCGUAGGCGGGUUCGUAAGUCAGUUGUGAAAGCCCUAGGCUUAACCUAGGAACAGCAAUUGAAACUGCGAGUCUUGAAUAUCUGAGAGGUUGGUGGAAUUCCAGGUGUAGGAGUGAAAUCCGUAGAUAUCUGGAGGAACAUCGGAGGCGAAGGCGGCCAACUGGCAGAAUAUUGACGCUGAGGCGCGAAAGUGCGGGGAGCAAACAGGAUUAGAUACCCUGGUGGUCCGCACCAUAAACGAUGGAUACUAGGUGUUUGGGGAGUUAACCCCCUGAGUACCAAAGCUAACGCAUUAAGUAUCCCGCCUGGGGAGUACGGUCGCAAGGCUAAAACUCAAAGGAAUUGAC